Molecule: transfer RNA, 68 nt
Filed under: Psychopsis coelivaga
Lineage: Eukaryota; Metazoa; Arthropoda; Insecta; Neuroptera; Psychopsidae
Description: tRNA-His
Rfam family: tRNA
About the family: Transfer RNA (tRNA) molecules are approximately 80 nucleotides in length. Their secondary structure includes four short double-helical elements and three loops (D, anti-codon, and T loops). Further hydrogen bonds mediate the characteristic L-shaped molecular structure. tRNAs have two regions of fundamental functional importance: the anti-codon, which is responsible for specific mRNA codon recognition, and the 3' end, to which the tRNAs corresponding amino acid is attached (by aminoacyl-tRNA synthetases). tRNAs cope with the degeneracy of the genetic code in two manners: having more than one tRNA (with a specific anti-codon) for a particular amino acid; and 'wobble' base-pairing, i.e. permitting non-standard base-pairing at the 3rd anti-codon position.
Source: RNAcentral
AUUUAAAUAGUUUAUAUGUAAAAAUGUUGAUUUGUGGAAUCAAAGAUAUGAUUCUAUCAUUUUAAAUA